AAGCAGAAUAUAAUACAGCUACCUUCAGCAGAGUGUUAGUGUGCAUGUUGGAGAGUUGGAGAGUCUUCAAGUGAAGGAGUUCAAGGAGUUAAUUCUCUCACAGUCAGAGAGAAUCAGAGCUGGUGCUGGAAAGAGCACUGAGAAAUCACUGGGAGAAUUUUGACUCCUAAAGCAGCUGAAGAAACAGUCUGGGAUUGAACCCCCAGAACUGGGAAGGAAGAGCAGGUCCUGAGGCUGAGCAUGGGAGAAGCCAGGCUUGCUGCAGAAGCUAAAAGGAAGCCAUUCUCACAACAUGCAGAAACAUGUUGAGGGAGCCCAGACUAAGGGACUCCCAAACUAAGGGAGCCCAGCCCGGUUUCUGCAGGUCAUGUGCUGCAAUGGGAGCUGCACGGUUUCCAGCAGCAAGCCCGCGUAAUUCCCCCCCCCCCCGCCAAAUUAGGUUAGCAGAGCGCACGCUCCACUAACCCCAUUUACCUGAUCGUGUGUUGCCGUGGCGCAGCUCUGCACCAUGGUGGCACAUGAGGAGACCCCCCGACAGGAAGGCAACAACAAGCCUCCCGGCAUGGGGGAGGCUCCCUAGUCGCGUGGGGCAUUCUGGGAUUUACGGAAGCUGGGAGGCCUCUGAUCCCUGCCGCCCCUACCGGCUCUGUGACUGAGCCAGUAAUCAUGUGGGCAGCCAAUCCGGCCACCUAGGGCUAGCCGCCUGAUCGUCUGUGGGGAGAGUGGGUCAGGCCCGCUCACCUGCAAAACCCCUUACAGCUCUCCAUAGAGGCUCAUGUGGAAAGCCUCUAUGGGUAAUUGCAGGAGGACUCUUGCCAGUUAGCAAUCCACACAUGUAUCUUUCCCCUUAUCCCACGACUGCUACGUUUUUUCAAGAGUCUUUGUUGAGAAACUUUGUCGAAAGCUUUUUGGAAGACCUAGUAUAUUAUGUCAACUGGAUCACCUUUAUCCCCACAUCUACUGACACUCUCAAAGAACUCCAAAAGGUGAGGCAGAUUUACCUUUGCAGAAGCCAUGCUGCAAAGAUGGCAAUUUUUUUUAAAAGGUGCAGAAGAAGAUUUGAGUGAUUUAAAAAAAAAAAAAAAUAGUGGGGGGGGGGGGUUUGCUGUGCUUGACUGCCAGCUAAAGCCAGCUUAUCAGUUUUCUGUUUCAUAAUAGUAAAUUCAUACAUAUUUUUAAUUUUUAAAAUACCUCAAACUGUAGGGCCAUCUAAGCUCUCAGUGCAACUUGGAAAAUGUUCGUGUAUAUGACGUGCAGUUGAUAUACUGCACGUCAAUCAACACAAUCUACAUGAAAUGCUAAACAAAAACGUGUGUCAUUUAAUUUUGCUGGGAAGGAAACCAAGCUGUUUAAUACUGUUACUGCCCUUACUGGAUGGAUAAUCCUGUUUAUGCUAAAAACACUCCAUCCUAAAUACCUGCCACACACACAGCUGACAUAAAACUGAUAAGACCUUUCAAGAUGUCACUACAAAGAGCAGCUGGAAUUUCUGGGAAAAAAUAAAAGGGCUCCAGAUACUUCUAAGUGAACUACUGAAUAAAUAAUAAAGCACACUUUAUAAGAAGUUUGUGAGGAUGGAUUUAAGGAUCCGCCUCAAUCAGGUCUUAAUCUUACAAUGUGCCACUAGAUGGCACCUUAUAUUUGGCAACUGUAUUCCUUUGGAGGGUUGUAAUGUGUUCUCGAGCUUAUUAUAGCAGCUAGUUACCUCUGACUGAUUAAAAUUGAUGUAGCUUCAUACUUUCUUCCGUCAUGUAUUUCUGCUUUCCAUUACAGUACUUAAUUGUAUUUAUAGGCCAUUAUCAUUAUGUUCUAUUGUCUUGGAUCGUUGGGGUGUAUGGGGUGUGUGUGUGUGUGUGUGUGUGUGUUUUCACUCCCAUAAAUAGCAGAAAACACAAGAGUCUGGCCUUUUCUGUUUCUUAGGUCCCUCUCUUUUCUUCUUUCCAAGCAUAACUUGUUUGUAAGUGCUAGUAGCUACCAACACAUCUUAACGUUCUGAAUCAUGUCCACUGGUUGCGACUCCAAGAAUCACACAACUUACUCUAAACACCCAAUGAGGCUUUCAACAUCUUUAGAGAGAAAAAACAGCAGCAGCAUGAACAAUAUGGCAACGCACCUUUAAGACAUGCUGUGCAAGUUUACUUACUUGGAAGUUAGUCCUGUGAGUUCAACAGGACUUUCUCUGCAACAUAUGUGUUUAGGAUUAGGCCCAAGGGCCCAAAUGAUAUGUUACAGGCAAAUGUGUGUAACAAAGUCCCAACAAUUUAAAAAAAUGAAAAGCUGUUUUUGGAGUGGCUAUUUUGUGCAGAGAUGUGUUAAAGGGAAUUUGUCUCAGCUCUUUCCCUGACACCCAUUUGUGUGCUCAGGAUCACCUAUUUCAGCUACUUUUUCAUCUCACAAGUCUCCAGACAAAUGUUUAUCCUCACCAACCAUAUCUAGAACCUUGCAGGGUAAAAAGGAAUUUUAAGAUUAUUUGAAGUGGGAAAAUGGCUAAUGAAGAAAGGGUUAAUCACCCUCUUUCCCCCUACACCACUUCUCUGUUCACAACAGCCCCUCUUCUCCCAAAGCUGCUCUUCUUUAUACAUUUCUACUUGAAAAUGUAGAAAUUCAUAAAUGGCAUCUCUAGCAACUGCAACAUAGCCAUGCAAACCUGCAGACGAAUAUGCCCCAUUGAACUCAAUGAAACGUACUUCCAAAUAAACAUGUAUGGGAUCGGACUUUAGAAAUGUUUUCAGAGCUGUUUGUGGUGUGUUUAGGAAGGCAAAGGUAAAGUGUGCCAUCAAGUUGGUGUCAACUCCUGGUGAUCACAAAGCCCUAUGGUUGUCUCUGGUAGAAUACAGGAGGGGUUUAGCACUGCCAUCUCCUGCGCAGUACGAGGUAAUGUCUUUCAGCAUCUUCCUAUAUCGCUGCUGCCUGAUAUAGGUGUUUCCCAUAGUCUGAGAAACGUGCCAGUGGGGAUUGGAACCAGCAACCUCUGGCUUGCUCAUCAAGUCAUUUCCCCGCUGCACCAUUAUGUGGCUGUGCUUAGGAAGGCCCUACUAAAAAGAAAGAAAUGGAAACUUAGCUCCUGCAUAAUGUCUAAAGAUACUCAAUGGAAUUUGGCAAUGUAAUGUAAAAGAGGAUGACUGACCAGCAGCAAGGUGGACCAGCACCACUAAGAGACCUUAAAGACUAAGUUGAAGACAGAUUAUCCUGUUGAAAAUCUAUCUAUGUGGUCGCUAAGAGUCGACACCGACUUGACAGCACUUAAUCAAUCAGACUAUCUAUCUAUCUAUCUAUCUAUCAAAUGUAAACAUCUUAAAAACAGUGGCUCACACACUGCAUAGUGAGCUGCAGAUCUAUGCAACAGGUGCACUCACUGGUUCUAAGCCCAAUUAAAUUCCACCAGUGUUACUUGCAGAGAUAGGGAGGCUCCAUGGCUACUAAGCAGUGUGUGAACUUGCUACUACUCCCAUAAUUUCCAAUAGGAGUAGUAGUACAAUCAAUACCCAAGGGGACUCCGCAUCUUCACAAGCAGCAUAAGUGGGGCUCAAAGGGGCACAGAAGAAGUGAGUGCACCUAUUACUUAGAUCGGUGGCUCAUUGCACAGUAUGUGAGCCCUCCAGUUUAAGAUGAGAGUAGGGGCUCGCUCAAUAUUUCUCCUACUCAAACUGUACACAAAUUGAAAGUUUAAGUUGUAUCCAGGAACAAAUUCAACCAGUGAAGCUUCCCUAAUCAAUUGCUAGAGAUGCCACUUAUGAAUUUCUACCAGGAAACAUAUCUAGUGGAAAUGCAUAAAGGUGUUCUCUAACACUUGCCAGUUUGGCUUCUUUUGUGUUUUGGCUUUUGGCAAGCAACAAGCAAGUCAAGUUUCCUGUCUCAGACUUUGUAGUUUUGCACUUUAGGUAGAUAGACAACUUCUGCACUGGGCUCUCAACCCACCCAUAACUGCUAACUUUGUUCCCUGGGCUAUUUCCCUUAUGCACAGCACUUCUCCCCCAAGCCUAAAUGUCUUCUUUCAAGAGUUAGCAAUGCUAAACGUGACCCUGACUAUACAUACCUGGGGCAAGCUGACUGCUGCCACCUCCAUAGCUGCUCCUUCAUUGUUCUCAGCAGCAUAUCUAAAUUUCUGCCAAGUAGUUGGACUUCUGUGCAUAUUUGCAAGUCAUGCAAACAGCAGGCAAGGGAAGGUGAUCGAAAAUGCUUUUUAUGCUGCUGCUUUCAUUGUAUUUUUACAGUUGUUGCCUGAUUAUUUUAAUUGGUUGUUUUUCCAUCUGCAGGAAAGGCAGCAUAUACCUCGCUAAUAAAUACAGAAAUAACAAUUUCUCCAAAUCAGUGAAGUCCUUUCAGCUAUUCAUUUAUUUUAAAACACUUGGGUUGUUUGGUUUUCAUGGCGUCACUAAGUGACAACAAGCAAAGGGCAGAGAGUGCAGACAACCUCACAGUGAAGUCAACAGUAUCACAGCUGCAGCCACUGAUUUUUAAUGAAGUUGGAUGGCAUCCAGAAUAUACUGAUGACUUUGGCUGGUGGGGAGGGGCAGUAAACAAUCAACAAGCGACAUGGGCAUUUAAUCAGGCCCAGCCACACAUGGCUGAUGACACUGAUAAUAAAUAUAUAAUAUAAUUUGUGUAUUGUUUCAUCUGGUUAUCUUUUAGCUACUUUCAGGCAUCUGUGUUUAGGGAAAUCACUGAUCAUGAAAGAAAUGACUGAUUGCAUGCAGUCAACAGCAGAGGAUGAAGUCAUUACAUUUUAUUUUUUAUUUUUUAUUUAACACACGUCUAUACCACCCAAAAGGUUUAUAACAAGAAAACAAAAAAUUAAAACAUUAGUUAAAAUAAAUGACCAAAAAAAGCCCUUAAAACAGUAGUUAAAACCAAAUAAAUGACACAGUAAAAGUUAAAACAUUACAACAAUUUAAAAUUUUAGAACAACAUUUUAAAAUGACAAUAAAACUGUUAAAACAAUAUUUAAUUAAAAGCCUGGGUGAAUAGGUGCAUCUUUAAAGACUUUUUUAAAGUUUUCCGAGAUGGGGAGGCUCCUAUUUCAGCAAGAAGUGUGUUCCAAGCUCUGGGGCAGCAGCAGAGAAGGCCUGUCCCCGAGUAGCCACCAAACGAGCCGGUGGCAACUGCAGACGGACCUCUCCUGAUGAUCUCCGUGGGCAGUGGGGUUCAUAACAAAGAAGACAUUCUCUUAAAUACUCAGUCAUUUAAGGCUUUAUAGAUUAUAAACAGCACCUCGAAUUUGUCCGGAAACUUAUUGGCAGCCAGUGUAGAUCUUUCAAUACAGGAGUAAUAUGGUCUCUCUGAGAUGACCCAGAGACCAACCUGGUUGCCACAUUCUAAACCAGCUGUAGUUUCCAGACUACACACAAGGGCAACCCCACAUAGAGUAUGUUACAGUAAUCCAGUCUGGAGAUUGCCAGCAUUGAUACCACUGUUCUGAAGUCUUUUAUCUCAAGAAACAGACACAGCUGGCAUAUCAGCCAAAGCUAAUAGAAGGCACUUCUGGCCACUGCCUCAACCUGGGAGACCAGGGAGAGGUUCAGAUCCAGAAGCACCCCCAGACUGCAUGCCUGUUCCUUCCGGGAAAGUGUGACCACAUCCAGAACAGGCAGAUCAAACUCAUCUCCUGAGUUUCAACUCCGCACAAUGAGUACCUCCAUCUUAUCUGGAUUCAGUCUCAGUUUGUUAUUUCUCAUCCAUUCCAUUGCAUCCUCCAGACAGGCAUUUAGGGAGGUUAUGCCCUGUCCCGAUGAUUUUGACAUGGAGAAGUAGAUUUGGGUGUCAUCAGCAUACUAAUAACACCCUGCACCAAAACUCCUGAUGAUCUUUCCUAGCGCUUUCAUGUAGAUGUUUUGAUUUUAUGGUUGAUUUUAAACUGUUAAUUUGUUUUAACUUUUAUAUGUGUUUUAGAGUCAAAAGUUUGAGCAGUAUAUAAGUUUGAUAAAUAAACAAACAAACAAACAUCAGAGACAAUACAGAGCCCUGAGGGACACCAUACAAAAGUUCAGAUUUUGAAGAACAACAGUCUCCAAGGGACACCAUCUGGAACCUACCCGAGAGGUAGGCGCAGAACCACAGCAAAGCAGUGCCUCCCACUCCCACCCACCUCAGACACUCCAGAAGGAUACCAUGGUCGAUAGUAUCGAAAGCUGCUGAGGGGUCUAAAAGAACCAACAGAGUCACACUUCCUCUGUCCAUUCCCAAUUGGAGAUCAUCCAUCAGGCCGACCAAAGCAGUCUCCACCCCAUGGCCCACCUGAAAGCCAGUUUGAAACGGGUCUAGAUAAUCAGUUAUAGGUACUGCAGGGCUGCUUUCACAACAGACACCCAGGGCACUGGGUGUUUUUUGUUUGUUUGUUUUUUGCCAGCACUUUUUAUUAAACUUGUGAAUAAGAUUAUGUGAGAAAGAACUCUUAACUGAAAUGGUAAUUCUUAGAAAAGGGUUUUGGUGAAUAAAUUUCAUCCCAUUUCUGUGAACAAAUGUAAUCUUAAAGAUGCCCUUGAUCAAGUUGCCAAGUGCUAUAUUGACUGUGGGAAAAACUUAGCAUAUAAGGCAUACUUUCCUCCAAGUGGUAUGGCCUGCAAGAAGACGUGGUUGUUGCAUGCAGGACAUACCACUUGGUUGCUAUUAUUAAGACUGGGAGAACAUUUAUAUUUGAAGCAGAUUAAUGAAGAUUGGUUUGUUGUCAACAUGCAAAUAUGGGAAAUCAGAAAAGCUAUUUAAGCAUCUUUUUUUAAUGCCCUAUGUAUAGCUAGAAGAAGCUGACUAUAUUAUCUUAUAUGCCUUAAAUUAAACACUGUUUUGUUAAUUAUCAAAUCAUUCUUUCACACAUGUACAUGUGUCAGCAAAUUUUGUGAUUCCACCUCUGAGAUUAUUAAGAGAGAAAGCAAUGUUUCAAGAAAACCAUUUUAUUAGGCUUAAUUAAGCCUCUUAUUUCAAAUAAGUAAACAACACUGAAUUCCUAUGGAGAUGCUGUUAGCAAGUGAAUGAGAAAUCUAGUUAUAGGAUAAUUAGCUCAGCUACAGUGGCAAUGAAUAAAAACAUUGCUUGUGGCGAUGGCACUGCAAUGUUACAAUCAAAUAAAUGGGAAAAAUGUAAUCUUCAUUGGAAUGCUUUUGAUGCUUAAAAUAGAAAAAAAGAGAUUGCUUAUUUUAAGUAAAGAUCAAAGACAGACCUCUAGAAUACCUCUUGAUAUCAGUUGACAUUCACAGAGAUGGGCAAAAUUUUAUGAAUCUUUUCUAACUUGAAAUCUGAUUUACACUUAAUGUCUCCUCAGAUAUAGAGUCAUGUUCCACAGAACAGAAUCCACACAGCCAUCACUCCCUCCCCAAACAGCACCCUUUGCUUCCUGAGAAGGGGCCCUUGGCAAUGCAGUGGGCUAUGGCAGUGGGAAAGAAUGGAAACACCUGCUCUACUAGUGGUGCUCCACACAGUUUCUGAGCUCUCUUCCCUCCUCCUGCAGCUGGAUACAGCCUGCAUCCCAGGGCAUAAUAUUGCCAGAGGUCCCUUAACCCUUUGGCAAGGGCUAUUUUGGAUGGCUGCAAAUGUUUUGCAUUCCACUGGCAUUGUUCUGAAUGUGAGCCAAUAUAUUUAACAUAAAAUUAUGUGAUUAUCCAUUGAAGAUAAUCAGUGGAGAUUCUCACCAUUAUGGAAUCCUUGCUGGUACUAGUCAAGUACUAGUCCCACUAGCAAGUGUAUGUGUGGGAACUGAGAAUUCUAACUCAUUGCUCUAGCACUGCAGUAACCUCUUCAGCCCAUUAGAGGCAUGAGGGGUUAUGUUAAUAGGUCUCUUUUGGUCAGUUAGGAGUCAGUUAGAAUUCAGUUGUUGAAGGCUAGUGUCUGUUUAAGUAUGUCAUUUAAUAGCUCUCUCGCAGUAUGUGAUGUUUUAGUUUCUUAAUACAUCUUUCUUUAUUUUUUUAACUCAACCUAUUGUCUCCAGAUUAUCUCUUGGGCUAAACUUCUUUCCCACCAGAGCAUACUCUGCUGUGUGAGGACUAAAUGUUUCUCUUCACACCGCUCAACAGGGUUAUGGGCCCAGAUCUCUGAGACAAGUAAAAAAGUAAUUAGCCUGAAUAAGAAAAUAAGUUUUUCUCAAAAAGGGAGACAAGGGCUGAAUUCAGAUGUAGCCCAAAACAGGGCAGAGGUUGGAACACCAUUACAUCUGAAUUCAUGAAACCACAGUUUCAAGCCGGAAGUAACCUGCCAUUUGCCUCAUCAAAUUCCAAUUGGAACCUCCCGUUUAAACAAAGGUUCACUGCUGAGACUUCUGGUUUGGCCACCAAAGCAUUAUGUCUGAUCCUGGAUUCUGCCAUAACCGUGAUUUUGUGUCGAUUUUCAAACUUCAAUCAUAGAGAUGGUGGCACAGACCUGCCCAGGAACACAGCUGUUCCAUGGCUGCAGCGCUGCUCACUGGCCACCUCUCUGAGCAGCAGCCCCGCCCCUCCUGUCACCUAUCCAGCUGUGGAAUUGUCUGGCAACAGGGAUGCUGCCAUGUCCCAUCCCAAGUGGCACAGUCAAGUGGCACAGUCACACAGGGGCAUGCCCUCUUUCCACUCUGUCUCUUGCUCUGUACCCACCUGGAAAGCAGGAAGGAAAGGGGACAGGAUGGGCAGUAAAUGUGUUGCUCCCCAAGAAUGAAGCAGCAAUUAUGUAUGUUCACAAACAAAAACACUCCAAAUGGCAACGUAAACAGGGCACCCCAUCCAACAUAAGAAGGGGGGGUAGUACCCAGUGUCGGGUUUAAAAGGCAGCCCCAACCAGGGACUUGAGCAGCCAAGUUCUAUUUUUUUUCCCACAGAAAGGUUGGGAAAGGCUGACUCUUUGCCCCCAGUCUGGCCAUGGAGUUUGCUGGGAUUGGCCUUGGGAGCUGAGUUGCAGGGUGGGGCUCCCCCCCCCUCGGAACUGGAAGUUGGAGGACCAUGCUUGGAAGAACAUCUGUGGUGCGAUUUAAAGUUUCAAAUUGAAACCAUGGGUUCGCCAACCUUCAGUUUCGUGUUACAUCUGAAUUUGGCCAAGGCAAGUGCUACAGAAGAUUGAAAAGUUACAAGGUCCAGAUUUUGUACUGUGGUAUUUCAAAAUGGAGAUGCUCCUAAAAAGCCACAGGGUCUUACACAGCACCAAAUCAAAAAGCCAAAUCAGCAGGGUCCUAUACACAGAGCACCCUGUUACAGAUGGAGAAGAAAUACAGGCCUGGGACAGUGCAGAUGAUAAAGACACCAGAAUAAUUUGUUUAUCUGUGAGUAAUUCUAUAUUGGUGCAUUUAAGAAACAAACAGCGUGCAAAGGACAUGUGAGAGACUCUGAAGAAAUUGUAUGAAAGAACAAUAGGUGGAUAGAUAGAUAGAUAGAUAGAUAGAUAGAUAGAUAGAUAGAUGAUUUGAUUUGUUGUUGAAAUGGAGAAUAUAGUGAUGAAAUUGUAAAGCGUUCGAACGAAGAAAUAGAAGUAAAGCAACUGGGGAACAUUUUCUAUUAUCUAGGAAUACAAAUAGAAAGAGAAUAAGAGGGAGGUUAUCUUUUUAAUCAGAAACAAAAGAUAAAAGAUAUUUUAGAAUGUCUAGGUCUUGUAGAUGCCAAGGAAGUGAGCAGUUCAAUGGAAGUUAACAUCUUGAAGCAAGAUACAAACAGCCAGCUUUUUUCAGACAAUGAGCAAUAUAGGAAAGCAAUUGGGAAACUUCUAUAUAUUGCUACAGUAACAAGACCAGAGCUGUGCAAGCAGCUGCAGCUAGCAGACUCGGGGAGGGGAGGGGGGAUCCCCAUAAUGCACUGCACAUUCAUGCAGCGCAUUAUUGGAGCUCCAGGGGCAGGACAACACGGGGCUACACAUCCCUGAAGCCCAACCUUCCGAGCUGCCAACAGCCACCGGUGCUCGUCCGGGUGGGCAGUCCGCCCACCCACCCAGGGACAGAGCAAUGAUCAUCUGCAAGGUAAGUUCUUUAGGGUUUCCUCCUCACAAAUCCUGUAGCUGCCUUUGAUGGGCACUUUCACCGUCAUGGGCACUUCUGCUAUCAGGAGUUUUUGACAGUGAAUGCAUUAGUGUGAUGAAACUCCACCUGACCCCAAUUAUAUUGGACAGAUCCAUACAUCACCAGCCUGGCAUGGAGUCCAACCUAAUCAUGCUGAUCUAAGAAAUAGGAAGUAUCAAGAAAUCAGCAAUUACACAGUUCAAGGUAAUGUGUAAACUGGGUCUAUAAUCAUCAGGGACCAUCUUGCUCGGAGAGGAAAGGAGACGAGAGGAGACGAGAUGAGACAAUCUGGGGAGAUGCCAUCAUCCAGUUCUGAUGUUCCAGCUGAGGUGACCUCUCCCUCCCCACCAACACAGAGCAACCUGGUACAAUCUUGCUCUGAGGAGAGGAAAGGAGAAAGAAGUGAGUCUAAACAGUUCACCAUGUAAAGAUUCAUGUAAAGACCAGAACCAUCCUCACAAAAAGAAGGGGGGAAAUAUGUGUUUUAUAAAGCCUUUCUGCAGACCCAUGCCUUGUAGGAAGAAAAACUUCAGGAGACUCGAGGAGAUUUCAGGGAAUAUUAUUUUAUAUCUGUGUGCACAUGUGAAUUAUGCUAUUUAAAAAAGGGAACACAUUUCAAUUUUCUUUAAUUAUUUGUUUUCCUAAAAGUUCUUUCUUUUUGCUUGCUUGCUUGCUUACUUACUUGCUCACUUGCUUUCCUUCCUUCCAUCCUUCCCUCUCUCUCUCUCUCUCUCUCUCUCUCUCUUUCUUUCUUACAUUUAUACCUGCUUUUCCAUAAAUUAAUGAUCAAAGUGAUGAACAAAAACAUAAAUAUACUGUAUUUACCUGAAUCCAAGACUAGAUUUCCCCUCAGGUUUUUUAAUAUUAGAAAUCAGAUGGUUAUCUUAAAUUUCAGAGUCCUGUUCCUUGGUAUAACCUGUAUUUAACUUCUACUUGUUAAGGGGGUCAUCUUAAAUUCAGAGCUGUCUUCAAUUUGGAUAAAGAUGGUAUACAAAAUUUUAAAACAAUUUAAAUAACCAUUUUUUAAAAUAUAUAUAAACACAACCAGCAUUAAACCCUGUAGUGGGACCCAGUUCAAGCACCAAAAUCUUGCCUGAACAGAACUUCUAUUUCCCCAGGCAAUUUCUAGAUGUUCAGUAACUGUCCACCUCCCACCUGAUCCCCUGACCAUGAUUAAUAGUGUGCACAGAUGCUUUGAUAAUCAAAUCAUACUUUAUUCUUGAAAAAUACUCUCAUGCUCCAUAUGCCUUGCCUUUGGGUUUUGUUUCUGGCCAACACCUAUCCCAGGAUUCUUAUUCUGUGCUGCCCAUUCAUGGGAGGAGAUAUCAUCCACCCCCAGUGGGUUUUCCCCCUCCUGUUUACAACUUUUGCUUUUGGAACUGCUCUGAAUGUUUGCAAGUUUAUUUUUUGUUAGGUUGCCAUUUUCUCAUUUCCCCCCAUACUUGUUUACAGCCAUCAUUUCUCAUUUGCUGCUGAUUCAGCACUACUUCUUUCUUUCUUUCUUUCAUUUAAGGCCUUCUUCUUACUGUGUGAUCCCAGCCAAUGAGGGAAAUUACAUGAUGAGCAAAUAAAAUGAUAUUGCACCACCCUAUAGCCAAUCGGAUUUGGCUAUGUGAAGACAUUAAUAAAGACAUUCCAUUACUUUCUUUCUGAAAGGUGGUGGGAGAGAGAGCACAUUCUGUGGCCCAUGCACCUGGGCAGAUAUUCCUUCUCUUGACAUGUUGUGCCUUUGUAGAGACCCAUGAAUAGUUAGGGCAGAAUGGGGCAGAAUGCCUAUUGGGAAAGUAUGAGCGUGUGGAUUGAUGGUAUCUGUGUUCAUAUAUAGAUGUGAUCCAUCUGUGUUACCUUAGAUUCAGUAGGAUGUCCAUUUGGAUUUGCACCUGAAUUCACAUCCCCAUCCUUAUUCUGCCCCCAAAUGAUUCAAAUAAGCACAACUGGAUUGGGAUGAGGGGGAUGGUUGGCCUGGCUGGUGAUGGGGACAUAUUCCCUCUUUCCCUGAUAUCCACCUUCUUGUGGAAAGGAAGCUGUGCACUCUUUUUCAAAGGGUGAUUUGGGGAAAAAUGAGGGAGUAUCUUUUGUGGAGUGUGCAAAAAUAUUAGGAACAUAGGAACAUAGGAAGCUGCUGUAUAAUGAGUCAGACCAUUGGUCUAUCUAGCUCAGUAUUGUCUACACAAACUGGCAGCAGCUUCUCCAAGGUUGCAGGCAAGAAUCUCUCUCAGCCCUAUCUUGGAGAUGCCAGGGCGGGAACUUGGAACAUUCUGAUGCUCUUCCCAGAGCAGCUCCAUCCCUUGAGGGGAAUAUCUUGCAGUGCUCACACUUCUAGUCUCCCAUUCAUAUGCAACCAGGGUGGAGCCUGCUUAGCUAAGGGGACAAGUCAUGCUUGCUACCACAACACCAGCUCUCCUCUCAUAAAUGCCCCUUCAUUUUGAGUUAGCACUUUCUUAUGAAUGGUGCUUUGUCCAUUGGCUCCUUCAAGUCUUCCCCAUGCCUUCCAAACAGACUGACAGUGCUAACCAGCUGUUGAGCAACUAUGUACAUACAGCUGCACACAGAGAGCCUACAGCCAUACACAUUGAUACACUACAGCCAUACACAUUGAUCUCGUGCUUGAAACCUUGUCUUGAGUCCAUAUAUGUAACAGUUGUCAUCUUGUGUAUAGUGUAUCAGCUAUUUUGUUUGUUUAUGCAGGUUAAAUGUGGAAGAAGUAAAUAGUAGCUCAAGGACGAAAAGAAGGCUGACUUCUUUCUACCCUGUCUCAUUAUACAUGAAAACGUCUGAUGAAAUUAAGGCAUUUGGAGUUGCAAUAAUAAAGCAAUUAAUUUCUGCAACUCUUUGAGGUUGGGUAUUACUGAAGCAAAUGGUUCUUGGCAUGAUUCAGACCAGGAGUGCUGACUUAAGGAAUAAUGGAGGGUUAGGGAGGAUACCAAUUAUGAGAACUAUCAAUAUUCAUGCUUGAGGGUGAAAGCAAGUAAUGGGUAAAGGGCAGGAAAAAAGGGCUUUCCAUGGGUCUAAUAUUACACAACUGUCUAGCCAUUGAGUGGAACUGCUACUUCUUCUGAAGCAUUUAAUUUAGCCUAUUGUCAGAAUACCCAACUAGCUAGAUAAUUGGCUGUUUUCAGUGUGACAGUAACUAUAUUCCUGUAGCAAAACUUCA
Molecule: long non-coding RNA, 13094 nt
Organism: Hemicordylus capensis (graceful crag lizard)
Lineage: Eukaryota; Metazoa; Chordata; Lepidosauria; Squamata; Cordylidae
Exons: 3
Source: RefSeq, a predicted model, not a curated record